UACGUAGGGUGCUAGCGUUGUUCGGAAUCAUUGGGCGUAAAGCGCGUGUAGGUGGUUAAGUAAGUCGGGUGUGAAAUCCCUGGGCUCAACCGAGGAAGUGCAUUCGAAACUACUUAGCUAGAGGACGGUAGAGGAAGGUGGAAUUCCUAGUGUAGAGGUGAAAUUCGUAGAUAUUAGGAGGAAUACCGGUGGCGAAGGCGGCCUUCUGGGCCGGUUCUGACACUGAGACGCGAAAGCGUGGGUAG
RNAcentral lists this ribosomal RNA (245 nucleotides) under uncultured Byssovorax sp. Its description in RNAcentral is "partial 16S ribosomal RNA". It matches the Rfam family "Bacterial small subunit ribosomal RNA", at positions 524 to 768 of the family's 1533-position model. The record is from RNAcentral. Lineage: Bacteria; Pseudomonadati; Myxococcota; Polyangiales; Polyangiaceae.